Molecule: non-coding RNA, 72 nt
Organism: Nerophis ophidion (straightnose pipefish)
Lineage: Eukaryota; Metazoa; Chordata; Actinopteri; Syngnathiformes; Syngnathidae
Source: the annotation of a RefSeq genome assembly
GGCUUGUUGGUCUAGUUGUAUGACUCUCGCUUAGGGUGCGAGACGUCUCGGGUUCAAUUCCCGGAUAAGCCC